Sus scrofa (pig) is the source of this 933-nucleotide long non-coding RNA. RefSeq lists it as uncharacterized. The record is from RefSeq and is a predicted model, not a curated record. NCBI's taxonomy places the organism in Eukaryota, Metazoa, Chordata, Mammalia, Artiodactyla, Suidae.
CCUCUGCUGAGAUUUUCUUUGAGAUGGUCACGGAAGAGAUGAUGUCUUUCACUGAGGCAACUACCCUGGCUGAUGCGGUCCCACCAGGGGUCCAAGGCAGGCAUUGCCAGAACAGCCGACUGUGACCAGGAGGGGAAGGUCCCCAGAUGGCCUUUCCAGGGACAGGAUCGACCACCCGCAACUCCCAGACGAGACAUUUUCUAUGAAGUCCAGAGUACGUGUCAGGCUCGGGGAUUCCUGCAUCCCACUUCUCAAGCCUGUUUCCAGGGUACCCGGAGGUGAAGAUGGAGAAGGCAGGCAGCUCUCCAAACAAGGCAAGCCCUCCCUGUUUGUCCAGUUCCCAGAUGAACUUUAAAGGGAUAACAAGUUUGAGGAACAAAAUCAACCCCUGGAUAACUAAUCCUCACAUUUUAAGUGUCUGAGAAUACCACGUAGCCAAGAUGCCGAAGCCCCUUAAAGUGAGUCAGUGACCAGUACAGAGUCUCUGCUUACUACACACGGCCGAUCUAACGAGAAGUGGGCAAACCCAUUUUUAGCACCAUAUGAGCCACAGAAGCAAGGACAGCACAAAUCCUAGUCCAGCCUAUGUUCCUGCCCUUCUGAGGUGAAGCCGUGCGCUGGCAGCAUGAAUUUAAGGCGAGACCCACAGGAGUCAGCGCAGAGCCUGGCCCAGAACUUGCGGAAAGCGAAGAUCUGCAGGGAUUUCUGCUGUGGGUUUUCCUUUCCAGUCCCCCCAGCUCCCACUCCCCAGGCCCCAUGUGCUCCCUGCACUUUUUUUUUUCCUAUGGAAGAGAAAGCUCAUGAGCCCCUGAGGAAAGGUGUCAUUAAUUCCAGCCUUCCAGAUAUGUGUGAUUACCAACUACAGAAAAAUCGAGGAGACAUUCGGCUUACAAGAAUUCCUGGCAGAAGAUGUUCACAGCCUGAAGCUAAUAU